This 429-nucleotide ribosomal RNA is filed under the name Pseudomonadota bacterium. RNAcentral describes it as "Proteobacteria bacterium partial 16S ribosomal RNA". It matches the Rfam family "Bacterial small subunit ribosomal RNA", at positions 355 to 776 of the family's 1533-position model. Lineage: Bacteria; Pseudomonadati; Pseudomonadota. The record is from RNAcentral.
UGGGGAAUAUUGGACAAUGGGCGAAAGCCUGAUCCAGCCAUGCCGCGUGUGUGAAGAAGGUCUUCGGAUUGUAAAGCACUUUAAGUUGGGAGGAAGGGCAGUAAGCGAAUACCUUGCUGUUUUGACGUUACCGACAGAAUAAGCACCGGCUAACUCUGUGCCAGCAGCCGCGGUAAUACAGAGGGUGCAAGCGUUAAUCGGAAUUACUGGGCGUAAAGAGCGCGUAGGUGGUUCGUUAAGUUGAAUGUGAAAGCCCCGGGCUCAACCUGGGAACUGCAUCCAAAACUGGCGAGCUAGAGUAGGGCAGAGGGUGGUGGAAUUUCCUGUGUAGCGGUGAAAUGCGUAGAUAUAGGAAGGAACACCAGUGGCGAAGGCGACCACCUGGGCUCAUACUGACACUGAGGUGCGAAAGCGUGGGGAGCAAACAGG